RNAcentral lists this ribosomal RNA (403 nucleotides) under uncultured bacterium. RNAcentral describes it as "partial 16S ribosomal RNA". It matches the Rfam family "Bacterial small subunit ribosomal RNA", at positions 28 to 526 of the family's 1533-position model. The record is from RNAcentral.
GACGAACGCUGGCGGCGUGCCUAAUACAUGCAAGUCGAACGCAGUGGGGACGGGUGAGUAACACGUGGGUAACCUCCCAUCAGAGGGGAUAACACUUGGCAACAGGUGCUAAACCGAUACUGAAGGAGGUACCCGCGGGGCAUUAGCUAGUUGGUGAGGUAACGGCUGACACAGGCCACGAUGCAUAGCCGACCUGAGAGGGUGAUCGGCCACACUGGGACUGAGACACGGCCCAGACUCCUACGGGAGGCAGCAGUAGGGAAUCGUCGGCAAUGGACGAAAGUCUGACCGAGCAACGCCUCGUGAGUGAAGAAGGUUUUCGGAUCGUAAAACUCUGUUGUUAGAGAAGCUCUCUCUACCCAGAAAGCCACGGCUAACUACGUGCCAGCAGCCGCGGUAAUUC